UACCCAGUUGUGUCUAAGGUGUUUUUUUUCUUCUUUGUAAAAACACCUUAGACACAACUGGGUAAUC
RNAcentral lists this microRNA precursor (67 nucleotides) under Pelobates cultripes (western spadefoot toad). Lineage: Eukaryota; Metazoa; Chordata; Amphibia; Anura; Pelobatidae. The record is from RNAcentral.